AGAGUUUGAUCAUGGCUCAGGACGAACGCUGGCGGCGUGCCUAAUACAUGCAAGUCGAGCGGACCGAAUGAGAGCUUGCUCUUGUUUGGUCAGCGGCGGACGGGUGAGUAACACGUGGGCAACCUGCCCGCAAGACCGGGAUAACUCCGGGAAACCGGAGCUAAUACCGGAUAACACCGAAGACCGCAUGGUCUUCGGUUGAAAGGCGGCCUUUGGCUGUCACUUGCGGAUGGGCCCGCGGCGCAUUAGCUAGUUGGUGAGGUAACGGCUCACCAAGGCGACGAUGCGUAGCCGGCCUGAGAGGGUGACCGGCCACACUGGGACUGAGACACGGCCCAGACUCCUACGGGAGGCAGC
This 357-nucleotide ribosomal RNA is filed under the name uncultured bacterium. RNAcentral describes it as "bacterial SSU rRNA". It matches the Rfam family "Bacterial small subunit ribosomal RNA", at positions 8 to 352 of the family's 1533-position model. The record is from RNAcentral.